Molecule: non-coding RNA, 46 nt
Organism: Mesocricetus auratus (golden hamster)
Lineage: Eukaryota; Metazoa; Chordata; Mammalia; Rodentia; Cricetidae
Source: Rfam
UCAAAGGCUCUUUUCAGAGCCACUCAUUUAUUCUUUAAGAAGAGUU